Molecule: transfer RNA, 71 nt
Filed under: Candidatus Ryanbacteria bacterium RIFCSPHIGHO2_01_FULL_48_80
Lineage: Bacteria; Candidatus Ryaniibacteriota
Also listed under: 3 other names
Description: tRNA-Ala
Rfam family: tRNA
About the family: Transfer RNA (tRNA) molecules are approximately 80 nucleotides in length.
Source: RNAcentral
GGGCCUAUAGUAAAGUGGUAUUACACCGCAUUCGCAUUGCGGGGGCGGGAGUUCGAUUCUCCCUAGGUCCA